UGCGCCGUACUCGGGCACGGCCGCGCCGCCGAGGUGACAGCCUACAUUCAAAACCCCGAAGAAUUCGUCAGUUUUCCAGACAAGUAGAAAGACCUAUGCCGGCGCUUCGAGACCACGGUACCCGGAGUUUGAGCUCGUGUCCUCGUGGCGUCCAGCAACAGACAAACGCACCGGAGAUGGAUUCUUCAGAGUUCAGACGAAAACCAAGGCGGCUCAAACCCUCAAAUCCGGCGUAUUCGGUCGCUGACCAAACUGCUUCUCUGCAAUCUCUCCGUGCAGUCGUGCACUGAACGCAUCAGUCUCUGGUGCCAUCUUCCUACUACGAGACAGCUAGCGGCAUGCCUUCGUCAUGUUGAGUUGUUUGGACAGUUGGGAAUCUCGCCAUCUUGUGACACGGCAGUGAAGGAAACCUGAAUGAUCGAUGGUCGUCGCAGUUUGAAGAUUUCAGGUCAGCCCUGCUGAUGGCACCCAUUUCUUCAGACAAACACCAAGGCGGCUUCUCAGCGCAACCAGCCAACCACCGCGCACGCAUACGCGGCAGGACGACGAAGAAACCGAACGGUCUUGGUCGUUUCUUCUCCAUUUCGUAGACACUGUAACACCCAAAUUUUUGAAGAAUUCAAAUUCAUUAAAACUUG
This 638-nucleotide long non-coding RNA is filed under the name Setaria italica (foxtail millet). RNAcentral's name for it is "long non-coding RNA (SITA_LNC002617)". Lineage: Eukaryota; Viridiplantae; Streptophyta; Magnoliopsida; Poales; Poaceae. The record is from RNAcentral.